This 761-nucleotide ribosomal RNA is filed under the name Salmonella enterica. RNAcentral describes it as "partial 23S ribosomal RNA". It matches the Rfam family "Bacterial large subunit ribosomal RNA", at positions 1181 to 1923 of the family's 2925-position model. Lineage: Bacteria; Pseudomonadati; Pseudomonadota; Gammaproteobacteria; Enterobacterales; Enterobacteriaceae. The record is from RNAcentral.
GUCAAAGCGUUCAUUAAAGUCGAGUUGGCUUAGGGAUACGUUCGUUGGGUAGGGGAGCGUUCUGUAAGCCUGUGAAGGUGUGUCGUGAGGCAUGCUGGAGGUAUCAGAAGUGCGAAUGCUGACAUAAGUAACGAUAAAGCGGGUGAAAAGCCCGCUCGCCGGAAGACCAAGGGUUCCUGUCCAACGUUAAUCGGGGCAGGGUGAGUCGACCCCUAAGGCGAGGCCGAAAGGCGUAGUCGAUGGGAAACGGGUUAAUAUUCCCGUACUUGGUGUUACUGCGAAGGGGGGACGGAGAAGGCUAUGUUGGCCGGGCGACGGUUGUCCCGGUUUAAGCGUGUAGGUGUGUGUUCCAGGUAAAUCCGGUUCACUUUAACACUGAGGCGUGACGACGAGGCACUACGGUGCUGAAGCAACAAAUGCCCUGCUUCCAGGAAAAGCCUCUAAGCAUCAGGUAACAUCAAAUCGUACCCCAAACCGACACAGGUGGUCAGGUAGAGAAUACCAAGGCGCUUGAGAGAACUCGGGUGAAGGAACUAGGCAAAAUGGUGCCGUAACUUCGGGAGAAGGCACGCUGACACGUAGGUGAAGUGAUUUACUCAUGGAGCUGAAGUCAGUCGAAGAUACCAGCUGGCUGCAACUGUUUAUUAAAAACACAGCACUGUGCAAACACGAAAGUGGACGUAUACGGUGUGACGCCUGCCCGGUGCCGGAAGGUUAAUUGAUGGGGUCAGCGCAAGCGAAGCUCCUGAUCGAAGCCCCGG